GCGGGCCGCUCGCAGAGGCGCCGCCGCCGCCGCCACGGCCGUCGCUCGGGGGCCGCCGCAGGAAGCUCGGCCGCGGCGCCGCGGCGCUUCCAGGUUGAAGAUUUUGGGGAAAGUCCCUCAGAAGGAAUCCAAGAAUGAGAAAAUCGUCAUUUUGCAACUUGUAAUGAAACCAUGGAUUGAGGUGCUUUUCCAGCUUCAGACAAGUGGGCUUCAAUCUUACCACAACCUAUCAAUUUACAAAAGAACAAUGGCCAGCCUCAGUGUUUCAACCAAGAAAAAAAGGAUACAUUACAGAAAUUAUUAAAAGUACAAAUUAGACUCUCUUUAAAAAAUAUACUGCAUGAACGGACACCUGGGUGGCACAGCGGUUGAGCGUCUGCCUUUGGCUCAGGGCGUGAUCCCAGGGUCCUGGGAUGGAGUCCCACAUCAGACUACCUGCAGGGAGCCUGCUUCUCCCUCUGCCUAUGUCUCUGCCUCUCUCUCUCUGUCUCUCAUGAAUAAAAAAAUAAAAUCUUUAAAAAUAUA
Long non-coding RNA from Nyctereutes procyonoides (raccoon dog), 525 nucleotides. RefSeq lists it as uncharacterized. The record is from RefSeq and is a predicted model, not a curated record. NCBI's taxonomy places the organism in Eukaryota, Metazoa, Chordata, Mammalia, Carnivora, Canidae. The transcript has 4 exons.